This 1077-nucleotide long non-coding RNA is filed under the name Capra hircus (goat). Its description in RNAcentral is "lncRNA (ENSCHIG00010008234.1)". The record is from RNAcentral. Lineage: Eukaryota; Metazoa; Chordata; Mammalia; Artiodactyla; Bovidae.
GAACGACUGCCAUUAAUGUGAGUGUGUUUUGAAAAUCUCAACAGAGUAAGCAUGUUACAAGGCCCUUGACAACCUACCUCCCACUGAGGCUGAGGCUGUCUUUUGACUUAAUCUUCACAAUGACAAACAAAUUAAAAUGUAUUAAGGCACAGUUCUAACCAAAUGGAGUAAACCCUCCAGGGAAGCUGAAACAGUUUAGAAUGUUCCACCCAACCCCCCUUUCAUGCCAUGGAGAUCCUAGAGCAGUCCAACAUCACCCACCUUGCUUGUGCUGUUCUCCCUUCCUGAAAUCCCCUUACCAGCUAAUUCUUAUCCAUCUACUGAGACUUGCUGAGGAAUCUCCUCUGACAUAAGUCAGCACUGGUGUCUGUGUACUGUCUCUUUUGUCUACCUGUUAGGGUGGAUCUGAAUCGCUUGGUGGGAAGGAGCUGGGACCCUGGCUCAUUCAUACUUGUGAAUGUAUAGCACAGUGCACGGUGCACAGAAGACAAAUAACGAGUAUUCGUAGAAGGCAGGGGGGAAGCCAGAUUUACUAGUUAAGUUUCAACCUUCGUCCCCAGUUUUAAUGAUGGGUGUUUUGUUCUUCUGCCUCGAACUCCAUAGGAUGAAACUUCCCAUGGGGCUAAAAGGCAUGACCUUGACCCCUGCCCAGCAGCCAGUUCUGCCAAAUUGUGGUUCUCCCUUGUCCUUCUCUCCAGUCUUUAGUCCUGGGCAAUGGAGGCUACUCUUGAACCUGAGUUCAAGACCAGGUCCUCAGUGCCUGUUGCCAGAACCAGUAGCCAACUCCCCAUUAAAACCUCCUUAAGUACAAGCCAGGGGCUGUGGGUUUGUGGGACUCUGGCCAACCCAGGCCUGGCCUGGGACCAGGGCCAAAGACACAGGCAACCUGACUGCUCUCUGGAGUGGGCAUCCAGGGUGGGGCUCUGGGGAAGUGCUCCUACCUGGACAAUGGGAUUCAGACCAGGCUUCCCCAUGUUCUCAGAGCUGAUAUCCCACAGUGCUCAUACUUGCCUGUUCUGUUCUUUCCUGUCUCCUGAAAAUACCCAAGCCCCACCUUACCUAAUGGCCUGUGCCUGA